AAUUGAGUUGGCCAAAAAGUUUGUUGGGGUUUUUAUGUAAGAUGUUAUGGGAAAACUGGGAUGAACUUUUUGGCCAACCCAAU
RNAcentral lists this microRNA precursor (83 nucleotides) under Ovis aries (sheep). RNAcentral describes it as "miRNA (ENSOARG00000021809.1)". Lineage: Eukaryota; Metazoa; Chordata; Mammalia; Artiodactyla; Bovidae. The record is from RNAcentral.